UACGUAGGGUGCAAGCGUGAAUCGGAAUUACUGGGCGUAAAGCGUGCGCAGGCGGCUUUGCAAGACAGAUGUGAAAUCCCCGGGCUCAACCUGGGAACUGCAUUUGUGACUGUAUAGCUAGAGUACGGUAGAGGGGGAUGGAAUUCCGCGUGUAGCAGUGAAAUGCGUAGAUAUGCGGAGGAACACCGAUGGCGAAGGCAAUCCCCUGGACCUGUACUGACGCUCAUGCACGAAAGCGUGGGGAGCAAACAGG
RNAcentral lists this ribosomal RNA (253 nucleotides) under uncultured bacterium. RNAcentral's name for it is "partial 16S ribosomal RNA". It matches the Rfam family "Bacterial small subunit ribosomal RNA", at positions 524 to 776 of the family's 1533-position model. The record is from RNAcentral.